GGCUGAAUAGCUCAGUAGUAAGAGCAGUCGCCCGGCAAGCGAAAGACUCGGGUUCGAUUCCCGAUUCAGCGA
This is a non-coding RNA of Camponotus floridanus (Florida carpenter ant), 72 nucleotides long. Lineage: Eukaryota; Metazoa; Arthropoda; Insecta; Hymenoptera; Formicidae. The record is from Rfam.